AACGGUCUAUACCUGCGGUACCUGCGGAAGGAUCAUUAACAAAUCCAAUAAUUGCAGGAGAACACUUGUUCUUUUUGCAAAUAUUAAUCCGCUGGCCGCUAUUUAUAGCAGCUGGCUGUGAUAUAAAUGCGUGUUAUGUUGACAGUGUGUGUAUAAAUUAAUAUUGACAACUUUCAACAACGGAUCUCU
Molecule: unclassified non-coding RNA, 189 nt
Filed under: soil metagenome
Description: partial contains 5.8S ribosomal RNA, internal transcribed spacer 2, and large subunit ribosomal RNA
Source: RNAcentral